UACGGGGGGGGCAAGCGUUGUUCGGAAUUACUGGGCGUAAAGGGCUCGUAGGUGGCCAACUAAGUCAGACGUGAAAUCCCUCGGCUUAACCGGGGAACUGCGUCUGAUACUGGAUGGCUUGAGUUCGGGAGAGGGAUGCGGAAUGCCAGGUGUAGCGGUGAAAUGCGUAGAUAUCUGGAGGAACACCGGUGGCGAAGGCGGCAUCCUGGACCGACACUGACACUGAGACGCGAAAGCUAGGGGAGCGAACAGG
RNAcentral lists this ribosomal RNA (253 nucleotides) under uncultured bacterium. RNAcentral's name for it is "partial 16S ribosomal RNA". It matches the Rfam family "Bacterial small subunit ribosomal RNA", at positions 524 to 776 of the family's 1533-position model. The record is from RNAcentral.